UUUCCUGAGAUUUGGCGAAGGGUAAAGGGUCGGAGUCACAUGGAUACAAAGCAUUUGAUUAAUGUCCAAGUCACCGCCAGGGCUGCCGGAGCCGCCUCCCCUCCAGCCCGGGCCGUGUGAGGCCAGAGCCGCGCGGGGCGCGGCGCGCAGGUCCCCGGGCCCCCCGGGAGCGGCCUCUGUUGAGCUCCCCCUGCCUCCCGCGCCCGGCGCCCCCUCCUUCUCCCCGCGCCCCCCGCCUCUCCGCCGCACGUAAAGUCGCCCGUCCCACAGCGGACCCGGCGGAGGCGGCCACUUUCCCCGGCGGGCGCGCGGGACCCGGGGCAGCGGCGGGCGCGCGGCCGGGCGCCCACCAUGAGCGACGAGGGUCGCGGGGACGGGCGCGCCGAGAGCGCCCGGGACCUGGAGAAGCAGCUCCGGCUGCGCGUGUGCGUGCUCAGCGAGCUGCAGAAGACCGAGCGCGACUACGUGGGCACGCUGGAGUUCCUGGUGUCGGCAUUCUUGCAUCGGAUGAACCAGUGCGCAGCAUCGAAACUUGACAAAAAUGUAACAGAAGAAACCGUGAAGAUGCUGUUCUCAAACAUUGAGGAUAUCCUUGCAGUACACAAAGAAUUCUUAAAGGUCGUGGAAGAGUGCUUGCAUCCAGAACCUAAUGCUCAGCAAGAAGUGGGAACCUGCUUUCUUCACUUUAAAGACAAGUUUCGCAUCUAUGAUGAAUAUUGUAGUAAUCAUGAGAAGGCCCAGAAAUUGCUCUCUGAACUUAACAAAAUAAGAACAAUCCGGACAUUUCUUUUGAACUGCAUGCUGCUCGGAGGACGGAAGAACACAGAUGUCCCUCUAGAAGGAUACUUGGUAACGCCAAUACAAAGAAUAUGCAAAUACCCUCUACUUUUGAAGGAGUUGCUUAAGCGGACUCCAAGGAAACACAGUGACUAUGCAGCAGUCAUGGAAGCUCUCCAAGCCAUGAAAGCCGUCUGUUCCAACAUCAACGAGGCCAAGAGACAGAUGGAAAAGUUGGAAGUUUUAGAGGAGUGGCAGUCUCAUAUUGAAGGCUGGGAGGGGUCCAACAUUACUGAUACCUGUACAGAAAUGCUAAUGUGUGGAGUCUUACUGAAAAUUUCUUCUGGAAAUAUUCAAGAGCGGGUAUUUUUUCUUUUUGAUAAUCUUUUGGUGUAUUGCAAAAGAAAACACAGACGGUUGAAAAAUAGCAAAGCAUCUACUGAUGGACAUCGGUACCUUUUUCGUGGCCGGAUCAAUACAGAGGUGAUGGAAGUGGAGAAUGUGGAUGAUGGCACAGCUGACUUCCAUAGCAGUGGACACAUUGUUGUUAAUGGAUGGAAGAUACAUAACACAGCCAAAAAUAAAUGGUUUGUGUGUAUGGCAAAAACACCUGAAGAGAAACGUGAAUGGUUUGAAGCUAUUUUGAAAGAACGAGAACGGCGGAAAGGUUUAAAAUUAGGAAUGGAGCAAGACACCUGGGUAAUGAUCUCUGAACAGGGUGAGAAACUUUAUAAAAUGAUGUGCAAACAAGGAAAUCUGAUCAAAGACAGAAAAAGAAAACUGACUACGUUCCCUAAAUGCUUUCUGGGAAGUGAAUUUGUGUCAUGGCUGUUGGAAAUUGGAGAGAUUCACAGGCCUGAGGAAGGUGUUCACUUGGGACAAGCAUUAUUGGAAAAUGGAAUCAUUCAUCAUGUUACAGAUAAACAUCAAUUCAAACCAGAACAGAUGCUAUAUAGAUUUCGUUAUGAUGAUGGAACCUUUUAUCCAAGAAAUGAGAUGCAGGAUGUGAUUUCAAAGGGUGUGCGAUUAUAUUGUCGUCUUCAUAGUCUGUUCACUCCAGUCAUAAGAGAUAAAGAUUAUCACUUAAGAACCUACAAAUCUGUCGUUAUGGCCAACAAGCUGAUAGACUGGUUGAUUGCACAGGGGGAUUGCCGCACCAGAGAAGAGGCGAUGAUAUUUGGCAUUGGGCUCUGUGACAAUGGAUUUAUGCACCAUGUGCUUGAAAAAAGUGAAUUCAAAGACGAACCUCUACUUUUCCGUUUUUUUGCGGAUGAGGAAAUGGAAGGGUCAAAUAUGAAACAUCGACUGAUGAAACAUGAUUUAAAAGUUGUGGAAAAUGUUAUAGCUAAAUCCUUAUUGAUUAAAUCCAAUGAAGGCAGCUAUGGUUUUGGAUUAGAAGACAAAAAUAAAGUUCCAAUAAUAAAGUUGGUGGAAAAGGGGUCUAAUGCUGAGAUGGCUGGCAUGGAAGUUGGGAAAAAGAUUUUUGCGAUUAAUGGUGACCUAGUUUUUAUGAGACCUUUCAAUGAAGUGGAUUGCUUCCUGAAAUCAUGCUUAAAUAGCAGAAAACCUCUAAGAGUUCUUGUGAGCACAAAACCAAGGGAGACAGUGAAAAUCCCAGAUUCAGCGGAAGGACUUGGCUUCCAGAUCCGAGGAUAUGGCCCGUCGGUGGUGCAUGCAGUAGGAAGAGGAACUGUGGCUGCAGCUGCUGGUCUUCACCCUGGACAGUGUAUCAUCAAAGUCAAUGGAAUCAACGUCAGCAAAGAGACACACGCCAGUGUUAUCGCCCACGUCACGGCCUGCAGGAAGUACCGGAGACCAACGAAGCAAGAUUCCAUACAAUGGGUUUAUAAUAGUGUUGAGAGCGCUCAGGAAGACCUUCAGAAGUCCAACUCCAAACCGCCAGGAGAUGAAGCAGGGGAUUCCUUUGACUGUAAAGUGGAAGAGGUCAUUGACAAGUUCAGCACCAUGGCGAUCAUCGACGGGAAGAAGGAGCACGUGAGUCUGACGGUGGACAAUGUCCACCUGGAGUAUGGUGUUGUGUACGAAUAUGACAGCACUGCUGGGAUCAAGUGCAACGUGGUGGAGAAGAUGAUCGAGCCCAAGGGCUUCUUCAGCCUCACUGCCAAGAUUCUUGAAGCCCUGGCUAAAAGUGAUGAUCAUUUUGUACAAAACUGCACCAGCCUUAGCUCUUUGAAUGAAGUGAUUCCUACUGACCUUCAAAGUAAAUUCAGUGCCAUUUGUAGUGAAAAAAUUGAGCGCAUAUGUCAGAGAAUAUCCAGUUAUAAAAAGUUUUCUCGUGUACUGAAGAAUAGAGCCUGGCCCACCUUUAAACAGGCCAAAUCUAGAAUCUCCCCUCUGCACAGUAGUGACUUCUGCCCCACCAACUGCCAUGUCAACGUGAUGGAAGUUUCUUAUCCCAAAACAUCAACAUCCCUGGGGAGUGCAUUUGGCGUUCAGUUGGAUAGUAGGAAGCAUAAUUCUCAAGAUAAAGAAAAUAAAUCUGAACAAGGAAAACUAAGCCCUAUGGUGUACAUUCAACAUACGAUCACAACCAUGGCAGCCCCUUCAGGUCUGUCUCUGGGACAGCAAGAUGGACAUGGUCUCCGGUAUUUGUUGAAAGAAGAAGACUUAGAAACCCAGGAUAUCUAUCAGAAACUUCUGGGCAAACUUCAGACUGCACUGAAAGAGGUGGAGAUGUGUGUUUGUCAAAUAGAUGACCUUCUGUCUUCGAUAACAUAUUCUCCUAAAUUAGAACGUAAGGCAUCCGAGUCCAUAGUCCCAACAGACAGUGACAACGAGCGGGGAGAGAGAAACAGCAAGCGCGUCUGUUUUAACAUGGCCGGAGACGAGCAAGAAGACUCGGGUCACGACACCAUCAGCAACAGGGACUCUUACAGUGACUGCAACAGCAAUAGGAAUUCCGUUGCCUCCUUCACCAGCAUCUGCAGCAGCCAGUGCAGCUCAUAUUUUCACAGCGAUGAGAUGGACUCAGGUGAUGAACUUCCCCUAAAUGUUCGCAUUUCUCGUGAUAAACAGGACAAGAUACACAGCUGCCUUGAGCAUCUUUUCAGCCAGGUGGAUUCCAUAACCAAUCUCCUGAGAGGCCAAGCUGUUGUGAGGGCCUUUGAGCAAACUAAAUACUUGACACCAGGUCGAGGAUUACAAGAGUUUCAUCAGGAAAUGGAAACAAAGCUGAGUUGUCCGAAAAGGUUAAGACUUCACAUCAAGCAAGAUCCUUGGAAUCUUCCCAGCAGUGUCCGGAAUCUUGCUCAGAACAUCAGAAAAUUUGUUGAAGAGGUAAAGUGUAGGAUACUCCUGGCUCUUCUUGAAUAUUCAGAUAGUGAGACACAGCUCCGAAGAGACAUGGUUUUCUGCCAGAGCCUGGUAGCCACUGUCUGUGCCUUCUCCGAGCAGCUCAUGGCGGCCUUAAACCAGAUGUUUGACAACAGCAAAGAAAACGAAAUGGAAACGUGGGAGGCCAGCAGAAGGUGGCUGGACCAAAUAGCAAAUGCAGGAGUUCUUUUUCACUUUCAGUCCCUUCUAUCACCUAACUUGACAGAUGAACAAGCCAUGCUAGAAGACACACUGGUUGCACUGUUUGAUUUGGAAAAGGUUUCUUUCUACUUUAAACCAUCAGAAGAGGAACCAUUGGUUGCAAAUGUUCCUCUUACUUAUCAAGCAGAAGGAAGCCGGCAAGCUCUGAAAGUUUACUUCUACAUUGAUAGUUAUCAUUUUGAACAACUGCCUCAACGGUUGAAAAAUGGAGGAGGGUUUAAAAUUCAUCCUGUUCUUUUUUCACAAGCACUGGAGAGCAUGGAAGGAUAUUAUUAUAGAGACAAUGUUUCGGUGGAGGAAUUUCAAGCUCAGAUAAAUGCAGCCUCCUUGGAAAAGGUCAAACAGUACAACCAGAAGCUCAGGGCAUUCUACUUGGACAAGUCAAAUUCACCACCAAACUCUACAUCUAAAGCUGCCUAUGUAGAUAAGCUCAUGAGGCCUCUCAAUGUUUUGGAUGAACUUUAUCGACUGGUGGCCUCAUUUAUCAGAUCCAAGCGCACGGCUGCCUGUGUGAACACAGCUUGCAGCGCCUCCGGGGUCGGGCUGCUGUCAGUGUCCUCGGAGCUGUGCAGUAGGCUGGGGGCCUGCCACGUCAUCAUGUGCAACAGUGGCGUGCAUCGGUGCACCCUGAGUGUGACCCUGGAGCAGGCCAUCAUUCUGGCCAGAAGCCACGGACUGCCUCCUCGCUACAUCAUGCAGGCUACAGAUGUGAUGCGAAAGCAGGGAGCAAGAGUUCAGAACACAGCAAAGAAUUUGGGAGUCAGAGACCGGACUCCACAAUCUGCUCCAAGAGCAUCAGACUAAGCUCUGAAGUAGGACCAUCAUGGCCACAUUCUUAUCGAGGACUCCAGGCUUACAACCAGCUUCAUUAUAUCCGCUGGUGUUGACUCAAAGUAUAAAGGCUGUACAAGCUAUGUGAGCCGCCUCCCCCGGUUGGAGAGGAAUGAGGAGCAUCUUCAAGGAACCAGACAAGCAGAAGCUUCUGAACACUGGAUGAGACAAAGAACGUGCUGGCUAAACAUCCUCCACUCAACAUAGAGAAAUGGACUUUUUUCUCUAACUCUUUCAUCAUGAUGUAAAUAACUAAUGUUCAGCUUGUACUUAGAUGUUUGUGCUGGAAAUGGAUAGAUGUCCAUUCAAACAACUCGGCUUCACAAACUGAUCUCUCUCUGUGUUAACAUGAAUUAUUCAUCCUGGAGAUUAUAUGAAAAAAGAUCCGAGAUGAAACAUUAACCAUUGUGCCUCCUUUCCCAUCUUUUGAAAUUACUAUGUUGCAUUUGCUUUUUAUCUUCUCCAAACGGAGCAUGUAAUUAUGGAUAUUUCCAUUUGAAGAAGUCUGUCCUUGGAGAAACCUGGCCACACUUUCCAGGUGAUCACACAGAAAUGUGACAGACGGCAGUGACUGGGCUUCAUAGGUUUUCGGUCUCCUGCUUGCAUCUGAGAAAGUCAUUUGUGGGUGAAAGGUGAGGAGCAUCCUUUACUCUUUUUCAGUAAGAGAAAGAGUAUUUCUCAGUAGAGGAGAAGAAUGCUGACUGAGGCCUCCAGCAGCAUCUUCCUCCAGCUGCUUUCAGGGACGCUUUCUGCUUGUGGAGUGUUCCAGCGACCCAGUGCUGUCCUUGAUCUCCGAAAUGAACAUGGCUUCCUUGGAUAAUGAGUCCUGAAGCUGGGACGUAGGUGUCCAGGGGUGGGGAGAAGCAGGGGUUGGGAAGGAUUGGGAGGACGACUAGGGUGAAGCAGGGGAAAAUAAACCAUUAAAAAACUCAACCUUUAAAUUUGAAAGAUACCCAAAACUCUUAUUCAGGCUUUCGUAUGAGAUGUCAGACUCUUAGAGAAUACACCAUACUGAGUGUGUUUCUAUCAAGGUAGUAUAUGUAUAAGAUGAGAAAAUAAAGCUUUAUUUGUUGAAAUUUCAAAGGACUGUUAGAGACCUUGAUAAUUUAUGAAAGUACAAAGUAUAUUCUAUUUUUGUUCUAAAGUUUACAUAAUGUUUAUCUGUCUCCAUUGAUAAAAUAUUAAUAACAUUUCCUUAGCAUAGUGAAAACCGUAAUGUUGAUUUUAAAUCUAUAAUUUUCAAAACAGUUAAAUGCCUGUGCUGUGAUUGUGAUACUUAUGUGGAUUUAGAUUAAUUUCCUAUAUGAAAUGCUUUCCAUAACUAAAGUAGUUACACACCAUUACUAAAUUUUAAUUUAUGAAAUUUGAUAAUAGUUUUCAAACUCAUUAAAAAGCCUUCAUCACUAGCAGUUGUGUAUUCAAUAACAGAAACACUGUUAUGUGUGUUUGAGGUCUUCAUGUCCUGGUCAAGGUAAUAAAUGUUAUUUCGCAUAGAAGUACUGAAGACUUUCAUGAUAAGUACAUAUUUAUAACGAAAAAUAAACCAACAUCAGAGUUUUCAGACAAAAAAGUUGAACACUUUGAAUUUAAUGAAGAUAUAACCUUAAUAUAAAUAUUUACAUUAAAUACGUUCUUAAUUUUCAGGGCUUUAACACUUUUGAUACUAUUGCCAGUAAUUCUGAAGGUCCAUGAAAUUAGUAAACUGUGAUGUUCCUGUUACUGACAAUUUGAUUACAUUUAACAUGGGAAUAAUGAGUGAGCAAAACUGAUUAACUAGCAAGUACUUUUCAUGUUGUCAUUACUGUUCUCUGAUCACCACCCUGAAAGCCGUAUUCCUUGUUAAAGGUAUGAAGAGGCCACUUAAACAUUUCAGUCAUACUUUGUAUUUCAUAGGAGAAAUUAUCUGCUAUUGUAGUAUUUAUAAAUUAGCAUACUUUAAGAUUGAACCUCUAUAUAAUAGAAUGUACUUAAUACUAUUUUAAGGGUUAAACAUGGUGUAAGUGUACCAUCUAUCAAUGCUUGGCACUUAAUAAAAGCUCAAAAGUUAGUGAUGACAUGUUGCCAUCAAUCACUGUGAUUUUUUUAUUGUAAUGAAAACUGUAGCUAAAACCUAAGUAAUUUCUCUGUGCCAAGCAAUACCUCCAGGUCCUUUGCCGUAGUUUCUUGUUAUUGCUUCAUUAAUCCUCAUAAUGAUGCUUUGAGGUGAUAUUCUUAGCGUCACCCCUGUUUUAUGGUUGAGGAACUGAAGCAAAGAAUGGUUCAGUGACUUGCCCAGGAUCACAUGGCCAAUAAGUGGUAGAACCAGGAUCUGAGCCUAGGAAGUCUGCCUUCUUAAUACAUUGUGUUACUUUCCCUUAUUAAUAUAGGAAAUGUUAUAAUACUGCCAGUUAUUUGUUAGUAAAGUUGGAGUUCUGUGUGGUGUGGGCCAUUACAUUAUAUGUGUUAUAUUGAGAAAAAAGUGAAUGAAAACAUAUAAAGUGCCUCUAAAUAUAUAAAAAUCACAGGAUAUGCUAGACAUUUUGCCAUUCUGGAUAGACAUUAUGAAGUAACCUAAUGCUAUUGCAAUCUGAAAAGACAUGAUCUAUUCUUCAUAAUUAAAGAAAAUAGUUUUAGAUAUGUUUUAAAAGUGUUGCAUAGUACAUUAUAUAAAAUCUGACUGAUUCCAAAACAGUGGUGACAGCGAAAAAUCGUGUGAUUGAAUGAAUAAGGACAACUCUUCAACACCACGAUGUACCCCUGCGUGACAGUGGACAUUCGAUUGACCUUGAGCUUUUAUGCAAGCUCGGGCAUGUUCAGGGUGGUAUGACCAUAGAUUGGCCUUGAUAUGACCAUAGACUGGCCUUGAGUUUUUAGAAUGGGUUUAUCUAAAUGCUCACAUACUCUUCUGCAGCCAGUGUACCUUUAAACGUUACAAAAGCCUGCUAACAGUUCUUCCAGGUUUUCCCAACUUUGCAGAUAAGUGUGGACCUCUGCCUGUCUCCACCUAAAAUGGGAGGUCACGCCUAGAAAUUUUGGUUCUUAAUAUGGGACUGAUUCAUUAAUACUUGUUUUUUUUUCCAUAAAUACUUGUUAACUAGUAAAUCGUGGUCAAGAAAUCUGAAACCUUCCAUUGUACCUUACAAAGUUUUCUUACUAAAUAUUAAAAAUUAAUAUUAAAGGUAUGAGUAAUUUGAGGAGACUAGAAUUUUACACCUAUUUCCAUUACAUUUAAUGAAAAAGAAUGGAAGACAGAAAGAACAAAGGAAAUAAAGAGGGAUGGGGAAGGGAGGGAGGGAGGAAGGAAAGAACUUUUGUACUGGUUUUACUUAUACUGGAUAUAUAAUGUUGAAUUUAGAAUCUAAGCUUUAUUUUAUGAACCAGUAUCCCCAUCUUAGGAGUCUCAUACUAUUUUCUGUCUUUUCAAAUCACAUUCUUCUAGUGAUUUAGAUUCCCUGUGCGUUCAACGGCCACUCUUCUUGCAGCAACAAUGUUCAAUUUAUUGAAGUUAGAUUAAUUUCUCAUGAUAUUAUAACAUAUGACAUUGUAAUGAUAUUGGUUCUGACUCUAUUAAUUUAAAUUUUGUGAUGAAUUCAGAACAGCAUGAUACUGACCUUGGCACUAACUGUAAAAGCCAAGAAAAUGAAUGGGUAAAAAAAUCCUGAGUGGCAUAUUAAGUCAUUUAGGAAAACAAACUAUUUUCUACUCUUUGGACACAUUCUACCAGCAAAACUAAUUUUACUGACUUGGAAGCAUUCCUUUGAGUUACUGUAUGUAUUUGAAAAUAAUAAAUUUGUAAUUAAAACACUACUCUUUCAUUAGUUCAUAUAGUUCCUAUGUAGCAUGGUUCAGUGUAGAAUAGAAGGCAUAUUUUUAUUCACCUAUGUAUUCAGUAAAACAUAAAGUUGAAAUUUAAAAUGACUAAUCUUAAGUCAUUUUCAUUUACCUUUUACUUUAAAGGUAAUUUUUAGAUUUUCUUCACUAGCUGAAUUUACAAAUAGUGAAACUAACCUUUAGCAUGUGAUUAAAUUGCUUCUGAAUUUUAAAAUUUAUGUUUAAUUUUUAAAGGCUUUUUUAAGUGAAUUAUCAUACAAAAUGAUAGUUCAGUUAUGAUCCCAACAUUAGUAGCAGUUAUUUCAUUAACAGGUGUAUAUAUUAAUCGAUUUGCUGAAUGAAUUGUCAGUUGUCCUAUGUAAGUAUGAAGACAAAAAUUUUGGAAAUGGUUUAGGACAAUCUGAACCUUGAUUAAGAAAAAUAUUCUGUAUUUUAUAAAGCUUUCCACAUUUAGAGAUGAGCCUCAGAAAAGUUUCAUUCUUUAUGAAGCAGACAAGUUGGGAUAAGCUUCCGGCAGGUGUCUGGACCAAGGGUGGGCUCAGGCUGAUCCCUUUUACAUACAGUGGCCACAACCUUUGAAGGUGCUGUGAUUCCAUAGUCGUUAUUAUGGUUAGUCUUUUGUUUUCGAAAAAUAAGUUUUGCUUUUAACAGUAAUCUCAGCGUUCAUAUUGCCAAGUUGUGCUUGACCUCCUUCACUCAGGAUAGUUUGCUUCUCAUUGAGAAGACAUUUCUGAAGUCUACUAGGUUUACUAAGAGAUAAAUAUAUAUUUUAUAUACAUAUAUUAAUAUUUAUAAUGUUUUGUUUUUAUGAUAAUACAUUAUAAGAAUGACUUAGAUUCUUCUGUCUUAUUUAGUAUGAAGGUAUGAAAUAUGAAGUGGUUUGGUAUAUUGAAUAUGUGUCUAAAUAUGCCGUAAGUGUCCCUGGUAGGCCAUCUUUUGAUCACUGGCACUAGUCUGCUACUUAGUCUGGAGUCUAUUGAUCUGGCUUUGCCAUCAGAGGUAGUUGAUUAAGAACAAAAUUAUUGAAUUCUUAAAUGAUAGUUCUAGUAGAAAUAGAAAGCUUUGGACAGCUCAUUUGGGGUCAAAUUACAGAAUAAAUAUUAUCCACUCAUGUGUCAUUCAACAAACGUGUUUGAGAAUUCACUUUGUCAAAGGCACAGUUGGUGGGCUGCCUUUAUGCGUUGCAUGUAUUUGGUUCAAAAAUCUUCUCAGUGUCUCCUCCGCGUUAAUCUCCUUUGUGUCUUUUUCCUGUAGUGAUGUUAUUUGUAAUGCAAACUUACUCUAAUACCAUGUAGAUACCUAUAUUGUAUGAUUUCAAGAAUACUAAGUUGAUAAAAUGCUCUAGAAAGCAUACAUUUAAACUUAAGUAUCUAAUCCCUCAAACAAAUUUACUAGAGUUUCAGACGAAUAUAUAUUUUUGUAACUGCCAGGUAAAUGAGUAGAACAUAGCUUUUUUGUUUAAAAAUAUUUUUAUAAGUAUGCAUUUACACAGUAUUCAUUAUUUUAAACAUUAAAAUAUCAAGUGGGUUCUAUAAAUAGUGAUUCUUUUGAAUAUAUCCAUAUUUAACAUUGUAUAACACCCAAAUUUUAAUGACAAAUGUCAUAUGAAUGUUAUUAUAGUAGUGUGUUUUUCCCUUUGUAAAAUAUACAUGUAACAUAGUUUGAAUCUCUCAGUAUUUUGUGCAUGGAUAAAAUAAUCAAGUGUAUCAUGUAUUUUAUAUCAUUUAUUUUUGUCUGCAUAAAAGACUAGAGUAGUAACAUUGUAUCAUGUGUCAAAAAAUAAUAAAGUGAAAUGUAGUAUGACCA
This is an RNA transcript of Cervus elaphus (red deer), 10779 nucleotides long. It is a transcript of the gene named phosphatidylinositol-3,4,5-trisphosphate dependent Rac exchange factor 2, with no coding region annotated. NCBI's taxonomy places the organism in Eukaryota, Metazoa, Chordata, Mammalia, Artiodactyla, Cervidae. The transcript is spliced from 41 exons. The record is from RefSeq and is a predicted model, not a curated record.